This 433-nucleotide ribosomal RNA is filed under the name uncultured bacterium. RNAcentral describes it as "partial 16S ribosomal RNA". It matches the Rfam family "Bacterial small subunit ribosomal RNA", at positions 27 to 507 of the family's 1533-position model. The record is from RNAcentral.
GGGGGGGGGGGGGGGGGGGGCGGGCGGAGGGAGGGCGGAGGGGACCUGCGGGUCUAGUGGCGCACGGGUGCGUAGCGCGUGGGAACCUGCCGUUAGGGUCGGGAUACCCCAGGGAAAUUUGAGCUAAUAGCGGAUGAUGUCUUCGGACCAAAGAUUUAUCGCCUUUGGAUGGGCCCGCGUUGGAUUGGCUAGUUUGUAGGGUAAAGGCCUACCAAGGCGACGAUCCAUAGCUGGUCUGAGAGGAUGAUCAGCCACACUGGGACUGAGACACGGCCCAGACUCCUACGGGAGGCAGCAGUGGGGAAUAUUGGACAAUGGGCGAAAGCCUGAUCCAGCAAUGCCGCGUGAGUGAUGAAGGCCUUAGGGUUGUAAAGCUCUUUUACCCGAGAUGAUAAUGACAGUAUCGGGAGAAUAAGCUCCGGCUAACUCCGUG